UCGGCUUCGCUUCCCCCUUUGGCGGAGGGAAGGGUGCAGGGAAGCCUGUAAAAACAGAGUUGAAGGGAAUGGGUUUCGGGAGCAGAGGGUUUGAAGUUCACGACUCCUACAAGGGGAGGGAAAUGAAAGUCUCUCAGUGAAGCAGGGGUCACUGAGGCGCCAUUUGUUUCCUCAUUUCCUGUACGCCUUUGCAGUGUCCAGAACCCUUCAGAUUCACUUACCAAUAAGUUCUCUAUGUAAACAGAUAAAUGUGACUGAAAUGGGGAAGGAUGAGAGUCAUUCCAACCUGCCAAGAUCUCCUACCCCAUCUCUACUCUCCACAUAGGGGAGGUUCCAGAAGUACUUUGAAAACCAUUAGGAAAGUUAAUUCCUUCAUAAAUGACUUGAAAUGCCAUGUCUGUAAUAUGCUACAUUAAAAUUUUUACCUAUUCAAUCACUUUUGUAUUUUUCUGCUAACCUCAUACUUUAAGGAGUCUAUAGUCUUUAUAAUAUAACAAAAGAAAUUGAAAUAUCUAUAAGUUAAAUAACAACAUGGGGUUCUUUAGGGGCUGGUAAAAUUAGCAUGUUUCUUUAAAAUGAUGUAUAUUAUUGGCAGGAGUUGGCUAAAUACCUUCAGUAUAGAGAUUAACUUCGUAAUGUACAUGUGGUUGAUAAUUUGAUAGUUUGUCACCAGUUUACAAUGUUGAUAUUGUUUGAUCCAUCAAAAUCACUUGCAGAAGUCAACCCUGAAGAAAUAACCAGGUAUGUAUAGGAAAUUUUGUUAAUGUUCAGAUUACUGAUAAUGCUGAAGAUGAUCCAAAUGUUUAACAGUGUAGGACUGGUUAAAUGAAUCCUGGCAUAUCUGUGAGACAGGAUACACUUCAGCCAUUACAGUGAUGUUGUAAAAAGAAAAAUACCUUACUGAGUACCUGUGAUGAAUCUGGCACCAUACCAAGCACCUUAAUUACGUUGUCUUACUUAAGCCUAACAAUAUCCCUAGAUGAUAGGUAUCAUUAUUCCUGUUUAUAGACAAGAAACACAGAAGUUCAAACAGCUAGUAGUGUUGCUGGCAUUCAGCCCACGUCUGCUCUUAACACUUGUUCCUAAUUACUGCCCUGGCCAUAUGGGAAAAUAUUCACUAUUUACUGAUAGUUAUUGCUUUAAUGCAUUUUAACUGACUUUAAAAAAGAAACACUCCAACCUACAUGCAAUCCCUUCUUCUUUGGCCAAAGUUACUUCUGCUUGGUAAUCUUUUUCCCUGGAAUGAAUCUAUAUAUGUUUUUUAUUGAGCUUCGAAGUAUUAAAUGAGUGCUCUAAGGAUUAUAAAGUGGCUAUACCUAUUAUUGUCACUGUAUAUGAUUGGCUACAUUGUAGUCUCUUUAUGUUCCCUCAGUUCUAUCUCUUCUUGCUCUAGUGUCAACUUACAGUCCCUGGCUGGGGCUGGGGACAGACCAGAAAGGAAGACUGAGUUGGGGGAGCUGUGUAGGUCUGAACUUUAAGCACAGUAGCGUCUGCUGUGUAUGUGGUGUAGCGUGGUGGUUAGAAGCUCUGGUUCCAGAGCCCAAUGGGCUAGACCGAGUCCCGGCUUUUGAACUUGGGAAACUUGUUCGCCCUCUUGGUACCUCAGUGUCUUCAUAAAAUGAAGGUGGUCAUUGUACCUACUUCAUAAAAUUGUUGUGAGGAUUAAAUUAGUUAAUGCAUUUAAAGUACCUGUGACAUACUAAGUGCUCACCCAUUAGCUUUAAUCAUUGUCAUUAUGUACAGAAUGGGAGAGGAGAAAAAGAACUCAUGAGUUUACUAUGUGGCACAUUCCUACCUGAGCUCUGUGUUUGAUCUCUGUGAGUUAGAUGUUUUGAUCAUUUCCUUUUUAUAAGAUGAGGAAUCUAAAAUUUGGGAAGGUUCCAUAUGGAAAGAGUAGAAUGACUCAUCAGACCCAUUUCUAGGACUAAGGGCAAGGUAAAUACUGAAAGCUGCCUGGCCAGGAAAUAGUAAUGCUGCGGGGAUGAGAUGAGAACUGGGCCCAUGGAGUCAUACCACCCUUUAGGAACCAAGGGCAGGAAUUAAUAACAUUCAGGACUGAGUGGGUUCCCUAUCCGUUAUCAGGAAACCCAGCCAUUUUUCUUCUAGUUGUAUUUUCUGUAAAUACUUCCUGUUUUUUUCUCCCUUACUAUGUACUAAAAUUAUUUCUGAAUUACCAGUCUGUCUCACUUAUGCUUUGAAUGAGAAAAAAAGAAAAAGGAAUGUUUGGCCAUCUCAUGCUGGAGCUUUCAGGGAGAACAUGUAGAUUAGACACCAGAUAUGCUGGGCUGCCAAUGCCAGAAGAGGGAAAAUAAAUGCAGGGAAGAAAAGCCUCUUUCUCAGAGGCUUCUGGAGUUUGCUCUUCUCUAACCUUAGAAGAUUUUGAACAGUUUCCUAGAGGGUGGGCUUUCACUUAUUCAUCUAUCCAGCAUGACUCAUCCCCAGAAGUGUUGAGUAAGUGAAAUUUUACAGUAUUUAUGUUUUGUGACUUAGAAACACAAUGAUGUGGGAAGAGAAUGAACUUUUGGAGUCCGACAUAUCUGAGGUAAACUCAUGGCUUUGUCACUUAGUAGUUGUAUAAUUUGGGGCUAGUUAGUAACUUCUCUGGGCUUCAUGUACAAAAUAGGAAUAAUGAUAUCUGCUUCACAGAGUUGGUACGAAAAUGAAAUGAGGCAGCAAAAAUAAAAGUGGUCAGUGGCUCACAUAGGCCUUCAUGUCUUGCCUUUCUCUGUGAGACUGUGACUUUGGAGCGAGCAUUUGGCUGUGUCUUGAAUUUGUUUUUAUACUUUACUAUAUCCAGUGCAGUGCUUUGUUACAGUGAUAUAAACUACUGAACAACAUUGGCAUACAUGCACAGGAAUGGAAUAAUGGGUAAAUAAUUUUCGUGGGUUUUAAUGUCUUUUAAUCUAUCCUGUCAUAGAGAAAAACUGCCAAAUGCAGAGAGAUAAGAUUGCAGAGUCAGGGCUGAAGAAUUGGGCAGGUCAUUCCCUGCACAAGGCCAGAGGCUCCAGGGAGAAUGGGACUCAGCCCUCGGCCCCACAGCUUGCAGAGCCCCCUGCUUGCUUCAGUUUCCUCAAAGGCAGUCUUCUGUGGGUGAAUGAAGCCUCCUCUCUUCUGACAAAGUGUUCCUCUUAUAAAUGAUAUACUGUGCUUGAUUUAAACUUUUUUCUCUUUAAAUUACAGAAUACCUAAAAUGUAAAGAACCAGACAUUCAUUUACUCAUAAAUUAAGGUGGCCGUAAUUGCUAUAACUUUUUAAAAAUUGUAACUUAAUUUCAGACCUACAGAAAAAAAUACAAAGAAUUCCCAUAUACCCUUCUAAUAUUUUACCACAUUUGCUUAUCUUUAUCUUUCUGUAUUACAUAUGCAGAUUAUUUUUUCUGCACAGUUUAAGAGAAAUUUCCUCUUGUCCCCCCUUCCAAUCUUCCUUGCUUCCCACUUUUCUUCCUUUCUUUCUUUCAAAUAAAAUAUUCUAGGUAGAGCUAAGUUGUUUCCCCUUCAUCUGUUCCUGUCCCUCCUUCCCUGCCUCUCCUUGCCUUUGUCAGGGAACCUGCUGUCUUACAUGUUUUUGUCCUUUUACUACAUAUGAUUAGAUCUAUAGAUACUGAAUUUUCAUUAUUUGUUGAGACUUACUUUGUGACCCAAUACAUAAUCACUUUCCCAAAUAUUCCUUGUAACUUGAGAAAGAACAUGUACUCCUUAAUUCUCUAAUGAGCCAAUAGCUGUAAACCACUUAGAACAGAGCCUGGCAUAUAAGCACUGUGUAGUGUUAACUUUUAAAAACAACCACAUGGUGUACAGUUACAUAGAAAUCUGCUGGCUCAAAUUUGUUACUGUCUUGUUCAAAUUUUGUAUGUGUGAGCUCUUGUUUUUUAGAGAAGUGUGUUAAAAUCUUCCUGUGAUUUUACAUUUUUUGCACAUAUGCUGCCAACUUCCACUCCCUGGCAUUGGAGUGAGAGAUCCCAGCCAGCUGUCUGGAUCCCAUCCCCUGAUCCCAUCCCAUUAGCUGGGGCUGUGCGUCGCUGUGCAGCAGAGAGCUAGGAUGGAAGUCAGGGCCCUGACCCAGCAGAAAAGGCAUCACAGGGAAAUAAACGGAAGUUCACAAAUUCAAACACACCAGGACUCAGUGGCGUUCACAUCUCCCUUUUGUAAGUUUUUUUGUUCUGCAGCCUAAUUAUCACUUGCUACACUCUGUUUUUCGCCUCUCAAAUGUCCCGUUGGUCUCUCAACCCUAAAUCCUCCAAAGUUUAAGCCAACUUUUUGGAUCAUAUUCACCAAAAUCCCUCUUUCCAAUAUUUCAGAACUAAAUUUCAAUUUUCAUAUGAUAGGGCACUGUAAGCUUGGGGAGAAAUGUUUCUUAACUGAUUCAAUGAAAAUGGAAUAUUGUUGGUUGCACAGUGGUAAACAGAAUACACAUGAGGAAAAGUGGGGAAAGUAGGCAUGAAACAAACCCAAAUAAAUUGUGACAAUUGCCAAAAAUGAAAAGAACUGUUUCUCUAAGGGAGAAAAUAGUAAAAGGGGUAAUGUAGUGUGAAGAUGUGAUGGGAGAUGAUGUUCUAAGAGGAAUAAUCAGCUCUGAAGAGGCUGUGGACCAGACUGAUCUCAGCUACUGAAGUGCUGAAAGAAACCAGCAAGGGGCUGAGAGGCAGUGGGAGGGGUGUAGGCGCUAGUUUGCUAGUUCACAUAGGGCUGUAUGAGCCAUCUUAGAGGUUACAUUUUAUUCCAGGAAUAGGAAUCCAUUGAAGGGUUCAAGCAGAGAACAGAUGACUGGGUUAAUGGAUUUAAAUAUACCUCUAGCAAGUAGGUGAAGAAUGACUAGGGAAAAGAGUGUAAGCAGGACAUCAUUCAGGGCAACUUUGGUAAAUGGAAGUUUUUAGUGACUUCCAUAUGUUUCCCUCUUGUCAGAGUUUCUUAAAAACACAAUGGCAAAUGAAACAGCCUUAAACUAACUUCAUCUGUAAAAGAUUGUUUAUACAGUUCGUGAUGACCAUCAUAGACUCUUCACAGGUCUAGAAGAUCCACUUAUAACCAUAACCCCACCCCCAAUUUAAAUCUUGUGGAUAUUUUGUAAAAACUUUAAAUUUUGAAAAAUGUCAACUCCAUAAGUGCAGAAGAGUAUGGUAAAUUCCUGUUACCUUGCAAAUUGCCUUGCCUUAACUACUCAGUGAUUGUUAAGUUUGCUGACAUUGACUUUAUCUGUUACUUUUUAUUUCUUCGUUCACUGAAAUAUUUAAAAGCAAAUCCCAAAUGUGUAAUUUUUACCUUCAUAUAUUAAGGAUCCAUCUCUAAGAACAUUUUCUUCAUACUGCAAAGCCAUAUUCAUAAAACUGACAAUUAUUGCUAGUAUCUAAUGCCAAUUCCAUAACCAAAUGUCCUUGGUGUCUCAAAAAUUCCUUUAUUGUUGGUUUGUUCAAAUCAGAAUCUAAAGAUCUGCUUAAUGUAUUUGGUGUUUAGUGUUUCAAGUCCCUUUUAAUCUAGGGCACUGCUUUUUUCUUUACUUCUCCUUUUUUCUUUUCCUAUUUUCGUUUUUUAAAAAAACGUGUCAUCAACUUAUACAAACUGGACUGAUCUUGUAAGAUGUCUAAAUAUUUCAUAAAAACUUAAAAAUAAAGAAACCAGGAUGAAAUGUAGAGCUUGAGCCUUUAAGUUUCCAGCAAGUCAGACCAUCUCUCUGGAAUGUUCUUUUAAGUGUCUGGCAUACAACACAGUCCAGUGGACCAUAAACACUCACCACACUUGGCAUCCAUAUGCAAGCUGUUAAAUAAGAGUGAUGUGCUUAAUGUUUUAAUUUUAUCAUUCAGGCUUCUCGGGUUCUUGACCUGCUUACUGUGAUUUGUCUACUGUUAUUAAAUUAACAGAAUCUGAAAAUAGCACUGUUUCUCAAAUGUUUUUAAAAACAAUUAAGAUAAUGCUUCAGUGUGCUAACCUCAGCCUUCUUCACUUCAGAAAUUAGAAAAUUAAAAAUAGUUGAACUGGAGGUACCGUCAGUAAAAGCCAUUUUACAUUUGGUUCCACUUUAAUGAAGCACAGAAGUACCGUAAGUGCCCAAACACUAUAUAUGUUCUUCACCUCAGUGUCUGUGUCCCUGAGAAGGUGACUUUGAUUUCUUUGCUAUAAUUAGCUCUGUUGCCAAUGGAGCAUAGAGUCUGAUUACCUGCAGUAACUAGAAUUAGAUCACUAGUUCUUUUGGCUUUGUUGUUUAAACAGGUUGUAGUGCAUGAAUAUGAUUGCAAAAUUAAAGUAAAAGUAUUUUAUAUAGCCAUUUAAUGUUAAUCAUUUUGAAUUAUUUACUAGUUUGAUUAUUCAAAGCAAGGGUAUAAUUCCAAAUUAAGCAUAAACUAGACUUACAGGAAACGUGAUAUUUAAUGUUAUUUCACUUCUAAAUAAAAGACAGUAUCUUCACUGAACCUGUGCUCACACAUUCUGGAUUUAAUCCUGGCUCUAACACUUACAAGCUAGACAAACCGUUUCACUUUUCUGAGCCAUAGUUUUCUCAUGUAAACGGAUGUAUUCUACUUAAUUUAUAAAGACUUAAAGAUAAUAAAUGAGACUGAAUUUAGACUGCAGCUUGAGGAAUUCUGAGUGUGUGUAUUGGAUCAGGCCCUAAACUAGGAGGUGUUUGACAGAGAUAUUUAUUAGUUAGAGAUGAAAGACCCAGUGUUGAGAGCCAGAAUCCUUGAAUCCUCAAUCAGCUUCAGCUGUCCUCUCCUGAUACCUGUAACAGAUAGUAAGUGUGUAGAGGACCAAGCCCCAGACAGACAACUGUCAUAGGUAAGGGCUGGAGCCCCAACUUAAUGUCUGGGAUGAAUUGGGUUGAAUUGGAUGGUCAGUAGAUGGAUGACCUUUUCCACCCUCCACUGAUAAUUAGUCACUCUUUUAUUUGUGUUCUUCGAAUUUAUCAUCCUGCCUCAUUAUUAUAUUUUUAUAUAUACAAAUGUCCCUAUAAGUGUUUAUUUAAUUGAAUUGGCACACAAACGGCCAGAAAAUGUGUAUUUCUCCUCACCAUAUAGUCAUCAAUUAGGAAAGAUUUGGAAUUCUAAAGUAACUUAAACCAAACCAAACCACACUAAGGAUGAGGUAACAUUGGCAGAUGAUACUCUAGGAGUUACAAUGCAACAAGAUGCUGAAUUAAGUGUUGGUUCAUCCAUUCAUUUCGCAGAUGUUUAUUGAGAACUUGCUGUAUGUCAGGGAUUAUACUUGAUGACUAGGGUGCAAAAGUGAAAAGACAUUAUCUUUACUCACGGAGUUCACAGUUUUAGUUGUAUUUGACUCAGGAAUAGUGUUUAAUAAUAAAAGAAUAAUGUUAUGAUGUGCAGGUCACAAGAGCCCUAAAAGUAGUCUGCAAUAUUAAAUGUAAUUAUUUCUUGAUUAGCAGUUCUAUGCCAGGAGCUGUACUAGUUGUUUUGUUUACUGCAUGUAAUUGAAUCCUGGCAAUACUCCACUCUACAGAUGACAAAACAAAAGAGGUUAUGCAAUAUGCCUAAAAUCACAAUAGCUAGUAAGGAGAAUCAGAAUUAAACUUGUAUCUUUAUUAAUCACUACUCAAUAGUGGAUCACCAGUGAGGUUUCCCAGCACAUAUUAGAAUGUCUGACAGAUUGUAAGAAUCACAAUGGCUUACAAGUAUAUAAUUCACAAUAGAGACAAAGGUUUAAAGUCUUUCUGAUGAAGGGUUUCUGAUUCCCCCAUUCUAACAAGCCAGAGCCUCUACUCACUCCAAAAUACAUGAGUUAACCUGUCCAAGUAUGUGGAUUUCUGAGUUCCUCCAUCCAGUGCCAGUACUUUACUUUAUUGCCAGUAGUAAAUGCAUUAUAUAAUUCUAAUUGUAGCACCUCUAGCAUUUUAUCUAAAAGAAGAAAGUCAAAAAUCAACUUCCAAAUAAAUGAGACAGAAGGGGCAAAUGUUUUUUUUUUGAAGUGUUUUAAUUGCCAUCAUUAUUCUUUUUUUUCAAUUGUGGUAAAACAUACAUAAUAUUUACCAUCUUAACCAUAUUUAAAUGUACAGUUCAGUAGUAUUGAGUAUAUUCACAUUGUUGUGCAACCACCACCACCAUGCAUAUCCAGAGUUCUCUUAAUCUUGCAGAUCUGAAACUCUAUACCCAUUAAACAACUCACCAUUCUGACAUUUCACAAAAUUCUAACCAGUACUCUUCAAAAGUGUCAAUGUCCUGAAAAACAAGGAAAGACCGAGGAUCUAUCACAGAUUGGAAGAUGCUAAGGAGACAUGACAAUUCAGUGCAUUGUGGUAUUCAAGAUUGGACCUUAGAACAGAAAAAGGACAUUAGCAGAAAAAGUAAUAUCAGCGAGAUCUGAAUGAAAUCUGUGAUUUAGUUAGUAGUGUUAUACCAAUGUUAAUUUCUUUGUCUUGACAACUGUACUAUGGUUAUGUAAAAUCUUGACAGUGGGAAAAUGGGAUAAAGGGAAAUUGGAGUUCUCUGCUAGUCACAACUCCCCUAAUCUAAAUUACUUAACAAUAAGGAGUUUCAGAAAAUUAAUUUUCUCUUCUAAAUGAUUUUCUUAAGGGACUGCAUGGUUAUCCCAUUAAUGGUAUCGUUGCUUUAAUUAUUUCAAAAUAUCUUUCUUGGAAUUGUCUUCAAAAGCCUAAAAUCGAAGGCCAUAAAAUCAGAAGAGUCAGGAGAGAUCUGAGGAGUUAUCUAGUCCAAUCUCCCAACCAUUCCAAGGAAUUCUGCAUGUACCAUAAUUUAUUUAUCUACUUCCCUAGUGGUUGAUAUUUAGGUUGUGCCCCAAAUUGUGCCCUUUACAAAGUUUAUGUGAAAUUUUUUGUACCUAUAUCUUUGGGCAUAUUUAGGGAUAUUUCAAUAUGCUAGAUCUCAAGAAGUGCAGUGGUAGGUCAAAGGAAACACACAUUUAAAACGUUGAUAAGUCCUUCCAGUUUGCCAUGCAAAAAAACUAUGCUUCUACCAACAGUGUAUGGGCAUACACUAACAUGGAUUAUGAUCAAUCUUCUACAUUUCAGCUAUUCUGAUAAAAGCAAGGGCCUGCUGAGGUGGGGGCAGUGGGAGCAGCCCACCCCUAUAGAUAAGAAUAUUUUACCACUGACAUAUUUUAGAAUUUCUGAAGCAUGAUGAUAUGUUUUAUUAUUAUUUUUUAAAUUCUCUACAGACAGUGCAUCCUCUUAUUGCCUGCUUUCCUUCCUGCUGACUUAACACUGCCUAACCCUCCUCAGUAUUCCUGCUAAUAGGCAAAAGAAGCCACCAAUUUGCAUGUCUCUGAUUACUAAUGAGGUUGAACAUAUGCUUAUUUGUUUGUAAUCUGUAUUAUUGGUAAUCUGUAUUUCUCACUGAAUGACCUAUUUAUAUUGUUGGCCUGUUUUUUGGGGGGGGGGCUUAUUUUCUUUUUCUUAUUAAAAAAAAACUCAUUAUAUUGUGAAUAAUAAUCCUUUGUUGCCUGUGUUGUAAAUAUUUUCUCUGUGUGUCACUCAACUUUUAACUUGAUGGUUUCUCUUGCUAUAUGGAAAUUAUGUUGGUGUUUGGGGGAGAGUACAACUUUUUAUUUCAUUUAAAUUUAUUUAAAAUGAGAAACACUAGGAACUAGGAAUACAUUUCAAAAACUUACCAAAACUCCAUGUGGGAAACCUGCUUAUCUGAGCUGGGAGCAAUGCCCAGAAUCAAAGCAAAGCAUAGCCAAAGACUCCUGGGUGCCCUUUCUAGGUUUUUUAUCAGGCUAAGGAAGUUCUUUCUGACUCAAAGUUUGUAAAAGAUAUUUUUAUUUAUUUUUACAAGUAGUUUUAUUGUUUAUGUUUUUUACAUUUAGGUCUCUAAACCACCUGUAAUUUAUAGGUUACUAAGCAGUUAUCCUUGUGCUGUUUAUACUGAAUAAUCUAUCUUUCCCCACUGAUUUGAAAUGCCACCUUGAGCAUGUGUGAAAUCCCCUAAGUAGGAACCUGGGCUAUUUUAUGGACUGUCCCACUCCACCAAUCUAGCUGUGUUUUUCUCAUCAGUACCACACUACCCUAUUUCCUACAUAGUUUUAUAGUUCUUUUCAAGUUCACAUGUCAUUUUGUUACAGUUGUUUUUCAAAACUUUCUUGGCUGUUUUCAAACAUUUGCUUUCCAGAUAAACUAGAGAAUCAACUUUCAAAUUUAAAAAAUUCCAUUGAGAUAUUGAUAAAAAUUGCAUUUAAUUUACAGAUCAAUAUGAGAAGAAUUGCCUUUAAAAAAUAGUAAGGCUUCUUAUCAAGCUAUGACUCUCCAUUUACAAAGAUCUAUGUAUGUCUCUCAUUAAAACAUAGUUUUUAAAAAUGAGUUUGAGCACUUCUAUUAAUUUUAUGUCUAGGUAUUUUAUAGUUAUGGUUAUUUUGAAUGGGAUAUUUUUCCAUUGUAUUUUUGAACUGGCUCCUGCUGACACAUAGCAAAACUAUGAUUUUUUUGUAUUCCUUUUGCAUUUAAUAUCUGGUAUUACUAUACUUUGUUUACUCAACCUCUCCCCAUUUCUAGGCAUUAGGUUGUUCCAAACUUUGAUAAGCCAUAAUUAGCAUUGCUAUAAACAUCUUUAAUCAAGGAAGUUUUUUUCCCUUUAAAUUUCUUCCUAUAAAUGGGAAAAACAGAUUAAAGGGUAUAUGUAACUUCAUAGCUCCUCAUACAUAUUGCUCUGAUGAAUCUCCUGAAGGGCUAGCACCUUUCCAAUUUGCCCGUAAUAACAUCAGCACAUAGGUAACAAUGAUGAAGAUAAUGACAAUGAGGAUAAUUUUAAAUUAAAAAAAUAUAUAUAUUUUUAAUUUUAUCAAAUAUUUUCUUAGCAUUUAUGCCUGGUAUUGUGCUCUGGGCUUUCAUGUCUUCUCAUUUAGUUCUUACAGUGAGUGUAUAAGAUCUGUUUCUGUCUCAUAUGUACAAAUGAGGAAAAUGAGGUGCAGAGAGGGAGGGUAACAUACCUGCCCUCACUGCUGGUAAGAGACGAAGUCAGUUGUAUUGUGAUGUUCAAUGCCUUCUUCCUAUGUCUUCUCAUAUACCAUUCUUUUCAUUUUUCAUUUACAUUUGAAACUGUAAAAAGUAUAUGAGACCUGAAAAUUGUAUCACUGUGCAUUUCUUAACUAAUAAUAAAAAUGCCAUUUGAUAACAUACUUGUUAAAUUGCUUUUUUAUCUCCUUUGACCACUUAUCCAGUAGAGGGGUGAUAUUAAUUAUAUAUUUGUCACAAUUUCAUGUAUAUAUUGAAUUAAAAGUUUUAAAAUUAUAUUUUCUCCUUUAUCUUUACAAAUAUUCUUGGGUUUUCUUGCCCAUUGAGUCUUCCUUUCUUGUAUUUAUUUUAGUUUACAUCUUCUGCAAAUUCUUCUUAUCUGAAAACUAUUACCAGCACAUAGACUCAUAUAUUAAGUAGUCAUGGUUACAUGGAACACCCUUAUCUCAUUAAUAUAGUAGCAGGAAUUGUAGUUAUAGCUAAUAAUAGCAGCUUCCAAAUACUGUGUGCUCAGAAAAUUAUAUAUACAAUUUUAUUUAAUCCUCACUAUAAUCCAAUGAGAUAUUAUCUUUGUUUUACAGAUGAAGAAAUAGGCUGAUAUAUCGACUUGCUCAAGGACACACAGUUAACAAAAGGAAGAUCUGUCAUAUUCCAAAGCCUAUGAUCUUAACUACAGUACUGCUUGACCCUCCAUUAUGUAUAGAAAGCAUAACAGGAUUUCUUACAACAGGAACAGUCUAACUUCUUGGCCUGUAGGUAAGAUAAAAUCAAAUUGCAAACCUGACAGUUUGACUCAGCAGAACAACCUCCUGUGUACAGGCCUGUGAGACCAGCAUUCACACAAGAGAUCCACAUGCAUAUUAUUCAUCUUAUUUGAUAAAUACUUAUGUGCCAGGUAUUCUACGAGUUAUGGAUAUAAACUCAUUUAAUCCAUGAGGUGGGCCCUACUAAAAAUUCCUAUUUUAAAGAUGAGGAAGAAGAGGCACAAAGAUGUUGAGUAACUUGCUCCACGUUAGGCAGCUCAUAAAUGUCAGAGUCCCAUUAUUCAAAUAGAAACAAACACAAACAAUCUGGCUACAGCAUCUAUUGAUCCACUAUAUUAUUGCUAAUUGUGUUCAUGGUUGAAAAGGGCAAGGGGAGAGGAAAGAUAGGGAAAUAACAAAAUAGAGUUAAUUCCUCAGAAAAAUCAAUAAAAUAAUCAAUUUACAGUUUUCUAUUCCUACCAUAGUAAUAUACUUCUUGUUGUUUCAUUGUGUAUUUGAAGGAUAAACCCUACCAGUCAUAUUGAUAAAUAUUUUCAUUUGACUUGUUAGGAUCUGAUUUAGAAAAAUAGCUCUACCUUCAGACUAUGAAGGUAGAAAUGCACUGGGCAAACAAAAAUCUGCACAUGAAGUUUAUAGGAGCUUUAUUCAUGGAAGCAACCAAGAUGUCCUUUGGUAGAUGAAUGGGUAAACUGUUGUUCUUCUGUACAAUGGAAGAUUAUUCAAUGCUAAAAUGAAAUGACCGUUAAGCCAUGAAAAAUGGUAGGGAGGGCUUAAGUGCAUAUUACUAAGUAAAGAAGCCAAUCUAAAAAGGUUAUAUGGUUGACCCUUGAAUAACAUGGGGGUUGGGGGCACCAAUCCCUUGUGCAGUUAAAAAUCUGUGUAUAACUUUUGACUUCCCAAAAACUAAAUAGCCUCCUUCUUGACUAGAAGCCUUAUGGAUAACAUAGUUAAUAAACACAUACUUUGUAUGUAUAUAUAAUAUACUGUAUUCUUAGAAGAAAGUAAGCUAGAGAAAAGAAAAUGUUUUUUUUAAUUGUCAAAAAUCUCCAAAAAAUUUUCCAAUAUUUAUGGAAAAAAAUCCAUGGAUAAGUGGACCUGUGCAUUUCAAACCUGUGUUGUUCAAGGGUCAACUGUAUACUGUAUGAUUCCAACUAUGUGACAAUCUAGAAAAGGCAAAACUAUGGAGACAGAUCAGUGGUUUCCAGGGUUUUGGGGGAAGGAAGGGCUGAAUAGGCAGAGCAUGGAAGAUUUUUAGGGUAGUGAAACUAUUCUGCAUGAUACUAUAAUGGUGGAUACAUGUCACUGUAUGAUUGUAUAGAAUGUACAACACCAGAAGGGAACCCAGAUGUAAACUAUGGACUUUGGGUGAUAAUGAUGUGUUGUGUCAAUGUACGAUUGUGGUGGGAUGGGAACUCUGUACUUUCUGCUCGGUUUGCUGUGAACCUAAAACUGCUCUAAAAAAUAAAGUCUAUUUUUUAAAAUGCUUUGAAAAUUACAGUGUACUCUAAAAUUUAAAAUAUUAUUAUAGUGUGUGUGUAGUAGGUCUUGUUUACUUCAAUCUAUACCUGUUCAAGUCCUCCAUGCUCUUGGUCUUACUUUUCUGCCUGUCACCUCUUCCUUUCCUUUGCAAGCACAAAUGGGGUGACCCCACUUGGGCUCUCUUCCUCUGUUCCACUGUCCUUUUCUUGAGGCUUCUCAGCACAGUUUCAGGCCAGCUGUCUGCCUCCACCAUGAUUAUCAGGGCUGCAGAGCACUG
Long non-coding RNA from Manis pentadactyla (Chinese pangolin), 13428 nucleotides. RefSeq lists it as uncharacterized. The record is from RefSeq and is a predicted model, not a curated record. The transcript has 4 exons. Lineage: Eukaryota; Metazoa; Chordata; Mammalia; Pholidota; Manidae.